This is a long non-coding RNA of Mus musculus (house mouse), 1336 nucleotides long. RefSeq annotates it as RIKEN cDNA 1700015I17 gene. The transcript is spliced from 3 exons. The record is from RefSeq and is a predicted model, not a curated record. Lineage: Eukaryota; Metazoa; Chordata; Mammalia; Rodentia; Muridae.
CAAAACCAGCCAGUACACUUAACUCCCAGGAUACUGGGGAGACAACACAAAGGAUGGGUAGCCAGGGGGUGGCUGCUCUGUCUUCAUGGAAAUCUCCACAGGGGAUUGGACCCUCCACUACAGGAUCAUGGACAGCAGCUGCUCCCCCACAUGCCACCAAAAUGACAUCUGCCUGAAGAAGAUGGAGAGUAGCCCCAGGCCUUUCGUGACCUCUUCUUGAGCUGUGUUGCUGCUUCAGGACCCUCCAGCCACACUCACUCCAGGUUCUGCGACUCUGUGAUUCUAUUCUGGAAUCUCCACAGCUUUCCUAUCCUUUCCUUCUGACCAAAUUCUACAUUCACUUUGAGGUCAGCCGGUGCGCAUCACAAACCCUUGCCAACUCUUCUGCUUAGAGCAAGUCACUCUCAUCAGCAGCACCCGCAGCACCCUGCCUCAGCAGAUGCUUCCAAAUGUGUCCCCUUCUGAGCCAGAGAGCUCAGUCGAUAAGGCCUCAGAAGAGUUCCUGACACUCUGAGGGAACCACACCAAGCCUUUCAAGUGUUCUCCUGGGCUUCAUCUUCUGUCUACAUCACCCAGCCAAGAUACCAGCCUGCCACUGAGCUCAGCAGAUGUCCGUGGUAUGAAUGGAUUCCGAGCAGACGGCACAAAAAUGAAGAAGAUGGGAGAAUGGUUGGGAGCCACCCUCUAAUAGAGGAUUACAUUUAAAUACAUUAAAGAUGGGAGCUGUCGUAUGGGUUAGCAUAGCAACAAUGACCUUAUCAUUUCCAAGCCGACAGUACAGAUGGAUGUUCUCAUUGUCUUAAAAAUAGGUCCACGAUGAUACCGCAGGAUUGAUGGAUGGAAGUGCAUGAUUGACAAUUGAAACUGGGAUUGUGGCUAUAUUCAACCCAGGAAACUGGGGAAUCUUGGGAAGGAAUAUUUAAAAUCCAGACUCCCAAGUGCCUGUAAACCAAUUAAACAAUAGCAAGAUGAGCUUUGCUAGGAUAAGGGAGACCCUGGGUGACAUUUCCAAGCCAAGCCUGGGCAUAGCUGUUUUUCCACCCUGAGCAGCUGAGGUGCUUGCUCACGGUAGGGGGGGCAAAGAAAAAAACCGCUCAUGUGUCACUCAACUGCCCUCUGGCCCCACGUGUGGGAAUUUCUUUUAAAGAUCUUAGUAUGGGGGGACGAUAGAAUGAAAAGAGUCCGAUUAUCUACGGCAAGCCUAAUUAUAGCUUCAAGGGCGAGUACGCCAGGAAGGGUCACGUGACACGUUCCAUCCGCGAGCACUGGAGAGCAGCUGCGAACAGGAGCAGUUUCCAAUGACAGCCACCAGGUGGCAGAACAGAACGCAAACCUC